Molecule: ribosomal RNA, 460 nt
Filed under: uncultured bacterium
Lineage: Bacteria
Description: partial 16S ribosomal RNA
Rfam family: Bacterial small subunit ribosomal RNA
Source: RNAcentral
CCUACGGGUGGCAGCAGUGAGGAAUAUUGGUCAAUGGACGAGAGUCUGAACCAGCCAAGUAGCGUGAAGGAUGACUGCCCUAUGGGUUGUAAACUUCUUUUAUAUGGGAAUAAAACGUUCCACGUGUGGGAUUUUGUAUGUACCAUAUGAAUAAGGAUCGGCUAACUCCGUGCCAGCAGCCGCGGUAAUACGGAGGAUCCGAGCGUUAUCCGGAUUUAUUGGGUUUAAAGGGAGCGUAGGUGGAUUGUUAAGUCAGUUGUGAAAGUUUGCGGCUCAACCGUAAAAUUGCAGUUGAAACUAGCAGUCUUGAGUACAGUAGAGGUGGGCGGAAUUCGUGGUGUAGCGGUGAAAUGCUUAGAUAUCACGAAGAACUCCGAUUGCGAAGGCAGUUCACUGGACUGCAACUGACACUGAGGCUCGAAAGUGUGGGUAUCAAACAGGAUUAGAUACCCUAGUAGUC